ACAUACAGAUGAUCACAGCAGCACCGUCCCUAGGGUAGACAUACAGAUGAUCACAGCAGCACCGUCCCUAAGGUAGACAUACAGAUGAUCACAGCAGCACCGUCCCUAAGGUAGACAUACAGAUGAUCACAGCAGCACCAUCCCUAAGGUAGACAUACAGAUGAUCACAGCAGUCUCACUGUUUUGGCUAACGUGCGCAAGCACACAUGGGCACAUACAAUUUCCAGUGCAUCUUACUAUAAAAGCUGCACUUAUCUGUGAUUUACAGGGGCAUCUGGGUCUAAUCCACCAUCAUUCAUACCCACCACUUUUGAUGUCUGGUUAGCAGAAUUUCCAUUUAGGCUAUUUCUGAUGUUUUUUUGUGUGCACUAUGUCUAUCUGUCUCAUACAGUCCCAUGAGUUUUCUCAGUUUAUU
This is a long non-coding RNA of Oncorhynchus tshawytscha (Chinook salmon), 415 nucleotides long. NCBI's taxonomy places the organism in Eukaryota, Metazoa, Chordata, Actinopteri, Salmoniformes, Salmonidae. The record is from Ensembl.